UACGUAGGGUGCAAGCGUUAAUCGGAAUUACUGGGCGUAAAGCGUGCGCAGGCGGUUUUGUAAGUCUGACGUGAAAUCCCCGGGCUCAACCUGGGAAUUGCGUUGGAGACUGCAAGGCUAGAAUCUGGCAGAGGGGGGUAGAAUUCCACGUGUAGCAGUGAAAUGCGUAGAGAUGUGGAGGAACACCGAUGGCGAAGGCAGCCCCCUGGGUCAAGAUUGACGCUCAUGCACGAAAGCGUGGGGAGCCAAAC
Molecule: ribosomal RNA, 251 nt
Filed under: uncultured bacterium
Lineage: Bacteria
Description: partial 16S ribosomal RNA
Rfam family: Bacterial small subunit ribosomal RNA
Source: RNAcentral